This 253-nucleotide ribosomal RNA is filed under the name uncultured bacterium. RNAcentral's name for it is "partial 16S ribosomal RNA". It matches the Rfam family "Bacterial small subunit ribosomal RNA", at positions 524 to 776 of the family's 1533-position model. The record is from RNAcentral.
UACAGAGGUCUCAAGCGUUGUUCGGAUUCAUUGGGCGUAAAGGGUGCGUAGGUGGCGCUGUAAGUCGGGUGUGAAAUUUCGGAGCUUAACUCCGAAACUGCAUUCGAUACUGCGGUGCUUGAGGACUGGAGAGGAGACUUGAAUUCAUGGUGUAGCAGUGAAAUGCGUAGAGAUCAUGAGGAAGACCAGUGGCGAAGGCGGGUCUCUGGACAGUUCCUGACACUGAGGCACGAAGGCCAGGGGAGCAAACGGG